GCACUCCGCCUGCAGCCCAGCUGCCAGCGCCGCCUCCCGCGGCCGCCGCAGCCUGACAGAGCGCCCGGAACAUGCCAGCCUCGCGCAGCCUGCGCUGACUUCCCCGAGACGCGCCGCGGCCGGCACGGAGACUUUCUGGGCUCUGGAUGGUUCGUGCGCUGCUCACCCUCGCCCACCCCUGACUCCGCGGACCGCAGCCUCUCAGCCCCUCAGCCCCGCAACUCCGCAGCCCCGCCGCGGCGCCGAGGACAGUACAGCCGAGUUGCGUCUCCCUCGCGCGAGUGACCAGCCUAGAAGCUGAAGCUACCCAGCGGCUGCCAGCUAGCAGUCAUCUCAUUAGCAUACAAAAAAGACUAUCAUGUUGGAAUCAUGUGAAAUCACAUUGGAGAUUCCAAGGAUUUUAAGAGUUGUGUGCCAGGACACCUGGACAAAGACCAACUAUACAUUUCAUGAUGUCAGAACGAGUAAGUGGCAAAGCUGGCACCAAGGCUGGAUGACUCCAGAAUUUGUGUCCUUAACCACUAUGCCUCACUAUCUUCCAAAAAAAAAAUAUUCUAAAAACAAUCAUAACUG
Molecule: small RNA, 573 nt
Filed under: Pongo abelii (Sumatran orangutan)
Lineage: Eukaryota; Metazoa; Chordata; Mammalia; Primates; Hominidae
Description: processed transcript
Source: RNAcentral